UUAGGUUGUUUGGGGAUUCUGAGCAGUG
This 28-nucleotide non-coding RNA is filed under the name Mus musculus (house mouse). Lineage: Eukaryota; Metazoa; Chordata; Mammalia; Rodentia; Muridae. The record is from RNAcentral.